This is a non-coding RNA of Schizosaccharomyces pombe (fission yeast), 614 nucleotides long. NCBI's taxonomy places the organism in Eukaryota, Fungi, Ascomycota, Schizosaccharomycetes, Schizosaccharomycetales, Schizosaccharomycetaceae. The record is from the annotation of a GenBank genome assembly.
UAUCCACCACCGCCAGGUGUCAUAAUAACAAUAUGGUCACCAGCUUGCAUAUGGCAUGUGUUUUUACCGCCAACGUUGAUUUGUCGAACUCGUUGCUCUCCUGAAGGUAAGAUAUCCUUUCGAAUCCAAAUGUUUUUACCGCAUUCGGCAUCUUUACCUCCUUUCAUACCGUAUGGAUGAUAGGCACGACGCUCUGAAAGUAUGGAAAGGGUAACUGGAAUUCUGAAUUCAAUAUCGCGAAUAACACCAUCACCACCUUUGUACUUUCCUGCGCCGCCAGAAUUUUCACGAAUGAUAAACUUUCUCAAAAUGACAGGGUAUCUUCUUUCAAGUACCUCCAAAUCAGUAAUUCGGGUGUUAGUCAUAUGAGUAUGAACACCAGAAGUUCCGUCUAAUCCAUCAAUUGCACCAGAUCCACCGCAAAUAGUCUCAUAGUAUCCAAAUCCUGGUUUCACUUCACCGGUCUCUGGAUCUUUACCGCCAAUUCCAAAUGUCAAAUUGUUUGUGUCACCCUGACUAGCUGCACAUGCUUGGAAUGCCUUGAGAAUAGUAUCAGUGAUUCUUUGCGACGUUAGCACAUUUCCACCUACUACAGCAGCUGUUUCAGAGGGUUU